This 265-nucleotide signal recognition particle RNA is filed under the name Halarsenatibacter silvermanii. Its description in RNAcentral is "Bacterial large signal recognition particle RNA". It matches the Rfam family "Bacterial large signal recognition particle RNA". Rfam says of the family: The signal recognition particle (SRP) is a universally conserved ribonucleoprotein involved in the co-translational targeting of proteins to membranes. Archaeal SRP consists of a 7S RNA and homologues of the eukaryotic SRP19 and SRP54 proteins. The record is from Rfam by way of RNAcentral. Lineage: Bacteria; Bacillati; Bacillota; Clostridia; Halanaerobiales; Halarsenatibacteraceae.
CCGCACUAGACGGGGUGGUAGCGGUGCCCUGUAACCUGCAAGCCGCUAAGCAGGGUCGAAGGCCGCUCUGAGGAUUUCUCCCCUGGAGGCCUGGCCCCAAUAAGUGGUAAUGACAGCCGGGUCUCGCGCAAUGGAGCUCUGUGAACCCCGUCAGGUCCGGGAGGAAGCAGCGGUAAGCAGAUGUUUCCAUGUGCCGCGAGGGAGCCUGGCUCGAGCUAACUGUUGGGGUAACGCUCCGGGGGAGGAAUUCGAAGACGGUGUGCGG